CGCGCCUUUUCUACCGGGACUUUGACGUCACGCCGUUCCGUUCCUGAUUAUUGGCUGUUCGGAGUCUUGAUAUACGCGGUACACUCUGUGUCGAAUUGUUGCAGGGAUUUUGAUGUCAGCUGGACCGAGAUUUGAUGAUUCUUCCGAUGAGGUGUGAGAGCGGAAACCAAUAACAACUUCCUCAUCAUGACACUGCUCUUCUGACAAGACUGAUGCUGAGUUCAGAUGGACGAGAGGAACGAGUGUUAUAUUGCCAAAGAAUCAGUGGUCUGGUGGUGACGGCCAAGAUGGAGCUGUCCUCCUUCAAUUCACACUCAUCUCCUCUGUCUCAAGGGUGUGAAAUGAUAAGCUCCGAGGACUCGCUCAUUCACAUUUUACAAGACUCCAGUUUCCACACAGUUCAGAGAUGCCAACAGCCGACGCUCCCUGUGUUACAUGGGUUGCUUGGAAACCAGCUCAUUGGGAGCAUGUAGUGCAACACACAGAGGCACAUGAUGCAGUGUGUAGAGGAAAACAGGCGCCCAAAGCCCACGUGUGGACAGCAUCCUCCCGACGCUCAUGAAGAUGUCCCACGUACUUCAGUUCAGUCAGCGUCUGCUGGAUUUUUACAAUGCUGGAUCUUGUUGGCAACAAGAGCAUCAUUGUGUGAUGAAGAAUGUAGACUGAGAUGAUCAUUCAAAUAAUUUAUUGCACUCAAGAAUUAUUUGGGUAUAAUUUUAAGAUGUAUUUGAAUAGCAUUUAAAAUUCCCAUCCAUUUGGACACAGUUUUAACAUAUACAACCGAAUAAACUUGUGAUGCAUACUUGUCAGUUAUGCAUGAAUAAAGCAAAGAAAGAGUUAAUAUUUCUGCACUCAUAUUACCUGUUUCCAACUGUUUGAUUUUAUCUAAAUGAUCCUAUUUUCAAAAUUCAUUUAUUCAAAUGGUUAGAAUUUGCAUAAAUUUGUUCAUUGUAAAAAGCAAUUAAGUUUUUCCACUUAAAAAGUAUUAACAAAAUGUUAAACAUAUGAAUGUUAAAAUAUGGCUAGUUGUCAGAACAGGCAAUAAUCAAUUAGUUUAAAUGUUGAAACAGAUUUGAUUUGUCGAUGAUAAUAUGUAAACCCAGUUGUGGAUUUAUUUAUUGUGUAUUACAGAAAUCUGACCUGUUUCAUUUAUUUGUGACUGAUAAAUUUGCAUUACAUUGUUAAUUAGUUAAUGUUAAAUGUUAAUAAAGAUAAAUCAGAUUUUUGCAGUUGAAACACAUAAAUCCCCCCCAAAAAUAUUUUUAUAUUUAAUUUAAUUUAAUUUAAUUUAAUUUAAUUUAAUUUAAUUUAAUUUAAUUUAAUUUAAUUUAAUUUAAUUUAAUUUUAAUAAGUGACAAUUCAAAGAAAAAGUGUUCCCAGACAUUGUGUGGCAUUUAAUACGUUUGAUUGAUUAAUUGUGUAUAUAUUUAUGUAUUUAUUUAUUUCUAUUUUAUUUAUUUUCAUGUAGUUAAAUGUCAUGCUAUACAGUGUUUUUGAUUGUUACAUGAACUAGUGUUUUUUGGUAUUUUUAAUUGAUGUAAGUUUUCUCGCUUUCAUUGUGUCACUCUUAACCAAACCUUCAUUAUCUUUUCUUCGGAAAGGAGAUUGUCAGCUGAGUCACCUUAAAAUAGUUUCUCAUGAUAACUUUGCGAAUCAGUUCAACUGAAUCGUUCAGUUCAAAAAGGAGGUUUUGUUCACAAAUCAUUCCUCACUAGUCUAUUUUGACCUUCCAACCACUCAGACCUGUGAAAAUGUGUCAUUAACUUUUAAGAAAGUCUGGACACUCAAACAAACUUCGGUGUGCUUACAGGUUCACUCAGUCCCUCCAGUCGCAGCGUCCCGUGGACGGAUCAGAAAUGUCAUCUGCUUGUCUCAAUUUGUGGAGUUUGGACUGUUGCCGGCCUCACGUCCUCCAGCUCAAAGGAUAAAGCCGGAUCAAGAUCACAUCCCUUCUAGGAUCCACGGGCUCGAGGAGGAUACAGACACUUCCUUCCCGCUCCACAUCCAGUGCAAAAAACAAAUAAAUAAAAAGUUGACAAAUUAUUAAAGGUGAAAGUAACAUGGUUCUUUUUUUUGAAGUUUGAGCACUUUGUUUGUUGUAAGUGGGUUCCUGUGAGUUUGCAUCUGUUGACUCAUGUAUCAUGGCUUUCCAUUAACUAAAAGCAAUACGAUUCGGGUAUUUCUUCAUCCUCUUGGGAAAAAGCAGUCCUAUUUAUUUCAACAACCAUCUAAUUCACCAUUCCAUUGUUAUGUCUUUAUGUUUCAUGCAUCCUAUUAUUUUAUUGCAUCUGUAUAUUUGUGUGCUUGUCGUAAUUACAUCCAUAACUAAAUCUCCACUUCGAGCAAGUUCUAGCUCCCUCUUUUAAUCGAAGGAUGCUCUGUAAUCAGAUUUGACGAGACGUUUUCCUAAUGAUGUUUACUUCAAACGGGUUCUAGUGGCUCCGAAAUGACUCAUAAUGAUCCUUGGCAGUAAGAUAUAUUAUAGAGGAAACUGAGACUUUAAAAAGCCAUUUCAGAGAAUGGUCUUUCUGUAUUAAUCAGUGAGAUUGUUAAAGCAUAGCUUCCAGAGAAAUGAGCUGUCAGUCGUCCACUCCUGAGCACUAAUGGUGAACGCUGCUGUAUGAAGUGCUCAAAGUGUGUUGUUCUAAAGAGCCGUUCCCUUCAUUUAGCUUGUCUCAUUAAGACAGUUUAAUAUGUUUUUGUUUCUCUCAUUUAUAUUCAGGGUUUUUUUUGUGCACAGACUGAUGGGUCUGUCUUCUCUUCGGCUGUGGCCUUGGAAAGCUGUAGGAGGAUCUACCAAAAGAUCUUUGAGGAAGCUUGUUAUGAAAAAUGAUUGUACAUAUCAGAAAUGCUGUACUGGUUAAUAUCACAUAGACUCUUUUAUUUCUGGUUUUAACAUCUGUUGAUGCAUCUCCUGUGAUUUUAAGGGACACUGAUUUCAUAACUAUACAUUAGUCACUGUGCAUGUUGAUAAAGCACACAAAUUUCCACAGUUGCUCCCAAAUGUACUUUUUAUCCCACUUUCUAACAUGAUGUUACAAGCAACGCUCAUUUAAAUGCAUUAACCUGCAUUUACGACUGCGUAGUAUGAUUUUAAUUAGUAGGAUUGUUUUAAUUAUGUAGAAAUCAUUGAAACAACAAGGAUUUUCUUG
Carassius auratus (goldfish) is the source of this 3152-nucleotide long non-coding RNA. RefSeq lists it as uncharacterized. The record is from RefSeq and is a predicted model, not a curated record. Lineage: Eukaryota; Metazoa; Chordata; Actinopteri; Cypriniformes; Cyprinidae. The transcript is spliced from 4 exons.